This 253-nucleotide ribosomal RNA is filed under the name uncultured bacterium. RNAcentral describes it as "partial 16S ribosomal RNA". It matches the Rfam family "Bacterial small subunit ribosomal RNA", at positions 524 to 776 of the family's 1533-position model. The record is from RNAcentral.
UACGUAGGGUGCGAGCGUUAAUCGGAAUUACUGGGCGUAAAGCGUGCGCAGGCGGUUUUGUAAGCCAGGUGUGAAAUCCCCGGGCUCAACCUGGGAAUGGCAUUUGGGACUGCAAGGCUGGAGUGUGGCAGAGGAGACUGGAAUUCAUGGUGUAGCAGUGAAAUGCGUAGAGAUCAUGAGGAAGACCAGUGGCGAAGGCGGGUCUCUGGACAGUUCCUGACACUGAGGCACGAAGGCCAGGGGAGCAAACGGG